CCUACGGGGGGCUGCAGUGAGGAAUAUUGGUCAAUGGACGAGAGUCUGAACCAGCCAAGUAGCGUGAAGGAUGACUGCCCUAUGGGUUGUAAACUUCUUUUAUAUGGGAAUAAAAUGUUCCACGUGUGGGAUUUUGUAUGUACCAUAUGAAUAAGGAUCGGCUAACUCCGUGCCAGCAGCCGCGGUAAUACGGAGGAUCCGAGCGUUAUCCGGAUUUAUUGGGUUUAAAGGGAGCGUAGGUGGAUUGUUAAGUCAGUUGUGAAAGUUUGCGGCUCAACCGUAAAAUUGCAGUUGAAACUGGCAGUCUUGAGUACAGUAGAGGUGGGCGGAAUUCGUGGUGUAGCGGUGAAAUGCUUAGAUAUCACGAAGAACUCCGAUUGCGAAGGCAGUUCACUGGACUGCAACUGACACUGAGGCUCGAAAGUGUGGUUAUCAAACAGGAUUAGAUACCCGUGUAGUC
RNAcentral lists this ribosomal RNA (460 nucleotides) under uncultured bacterium. Its description in RNAcentral is "partial 16S ribosomal RNA". It matches the Rfam family "Bacterial small subunit ribosomal RNA", at positions 338 to 795 of the family's 1533-position model. The record is from RNAcentral.